GACGAACGUUGGCGGCGUGCUUAAUACAUGCAAGUCAACUGAAGCAGUGGUAGCAAUAUCGCUGUGGAGGUGGCGCACGGGUGAGUAACACGUAGGUAAUCUGCCUUCAGGUCUGGCAUAACUCCGGGAAACCGGGGCUAAUAGCAGAUGAUGCAGCGGCUCGACAUCGAGACAGUUGUUAAAGCUAUGGCGCCUGAAGAUGAGCCUGCGUCUGAUUAGCUAGUUGGCGGGGUAACGGCCCACCAAGGCAACGAUCAGUAGCUGGUCUGAGAGGAUGAUCAGCCACACUGGAACUGAGACACGGUCCAGACUCCUACGGGAGGUAGCAGUAAGGAAGAUUGCUCAAUGGGAGAAAUCCUGAAGCAGCAACGCCGCGUGAGGGACGAAGGGCUUUUGCUUGUAAACCUCUGUAGUGAGAGAAAAAAAUCCCAAUCUUUGGGACAUGAUGGUAUCUCAAAAGUAAGCCCCGGCUAACUACGUG
RNAcentral lists this ribosomal RNA (481 nucleotides) under uncultured bacterium. Its description in RNAcentral is "partial 16S ribosomal RNA". It matches the Rfam family "Bacterial small subunit ribosomal RNA", at positions 28 to 507 of the family's 1533-position model. The record is from RNAcentral.